GAUGAACGCUAGCGGCAGGCUUAAUACAUGCAAGUCGAGGGGCAGCAGGACUGUAGCAAUACAGUUGCUGGCGACCGGCAAUCGGGUGCGGAACACGUACGCAACCUACCCAAAACUGGGGGAUAGCCCGGGGAAACCCGGAUUAAUACCUCGUAACCUUUUUAAGUGGCAUCACUUGAUAAGUAUAGCUCCGGCGGUUUUGGAUGGGCGUGCGCCUGAUUAGGUAGUUGGUGCGGGUAACGGCCCACCAAGCCUGCGAUCAGUAACUGGUGUGAGAGCACGACCAGUCACACGGGCACUGAGACACGGGCCCGACUCCUACGGGAGGCAGCAGUAAGGAAUAUUGGUCAAUGGACGCAAGUCUGAACCAGCCAUGCCGCGUGAAGGAUGAAGGUCCUCUGGAUUGUAAACUUCUUUUAUGGGGGACGAAACCCGGAUAUUCUUAUCCGAUUGACGGUACCUCAGGAAUAAGCACCGGCUAACUCCGUG
RNAcentral lists this ribosomal RNA (489 nucleotides) under uncultured bacterium. RNAcentral's name for it is "partial 16S ribosomal RNA". It matches the Rfam family "Bacterial small subunit ribosomal RNA", at positions 28 to 507 of the family's 1533-position model. The record is from RNAcentral.